CGCGGGGUAGAGAAGUAGUAUCUCGCAAGGCCCAUAACCUUGAGAUCGUUGGUGCAAUUCCAACCCCCGCAACAA
RNAcentral lists this transfer RNA (75 nucleotides) under Candidatus Harrisonbacteria bacterium RIFCSPHIGHO2_01_FULL_44_13. RNAcentral describes it as "tRNA-Met". It matches the Rfam family "tRNA". From Rfam's summary of the family: Transfer RNA (tRNA) molecules are approximately 80 nucleotides in length. Lineage: Bacteria; Candidatus Harrisoniibacteriota. RNAcentral also lists the same sequence under 1 other name. The record is from RNAcentral.